CACAGCACUUUGCCAACUCGUAAGAGGAAGUAUAAGGUGUGACGCCUGCCCGGUGCUCGAAGGUUAAGAGGAUGCGUCAGUCGCAAGAUGAAGCGUUGAAUUGAAGCCCGAGUAAACGGCGGCCGUAACUAUAACGGUCCUAAGGUAGCGAAAUUCCUUGUCGGUUAAAUACCGACCUGCAUGAAUGGCGUAACGAGAUGGGAGCUGUCUCAACCAGAGAUUCAGUGAAAUUGUAGUGGAGGUGAAAAUUCCUCCUACCCGCGGCAAGACGGAAAGACCCCGUGGACCUUUACUACAACUUAGCACUGCUAAUGGGAAUAUCAUGCGCAGGAUAG
RNAcentral lists this ribosomal RNA (335 nucleotides) under Helicobacter pylori. RNAcentral's name for it is "bacterial LSU rRNA". It matches the Rfam family "Bacterial large subunit ribosomal RNA", at positions 1814 to 2146 of the family's 2925-position model. The record is from RNAcentral. Lineage: Bacteria; Pseudomonadati; Campylobacterota; Epsilonproteobacteria; Campylobacterales; Helicobacteraceae.